UGCCAGCAGCCGCGGUAAUACGGAGGGGGCUAGCGUUGUUCGGAAUUACUGGGCGUAAAGCGCACGUAGGCGGAUUGAUCAGUUGGGGGUGAAAUCCCGGGGCUCAACCCCGGAACUGCCUUCAAUACUGUCAGUCUAGAGAUCAUGAGAGGUGAGUGGAAUUCCGAGUGUAGAGGUGAAAUUCGUAGAUAUUCGGAGGAACACCAGUGGCGAAGGCGGCUCACUGGCUCGAUACUGACGCUGAGGUGCGAAAGCGUGGGGAGCAAACAGGAUUAGAUA
This 279-nucleotide ribosomal RNA is filed under the name uncultured bacterium. RNAcentral describes it as "partial 16S ribosomal RNA". It matches the Rfam family "Bacterial small subunit ribosomal RNA", at positions 506 to 784 of the family's 1533-position model. The record is from RNAcentral.